GGACUACCGGGGUUUCUAAUCCUGUUUGCUCCCCACGCUUUCGCGCCUCAGCGUCAGUAAAGGACCAGGUCGCCGCCUUCGCCACCGGUGUUCUUCCCAAUAUCUACGAAUUUCACCUCUACACUGGGAAUUCCACGACCCUCUUCCCUACUCAAGCCAACACGUAUCCAAUGCAGCCCCCAGGUUAAGCCCAGGAAUUUCACAUCAGACGGUGUCCGCCGCCUACGCGCCCUUUACGCCCAGUCAUUCCGAGCAACGCUAGCCCCCUUCGUAUUACCGCGGCGGCUGGCAC
This 292-nucleotide ribosomal RNA is filed under the name uncultured Alphaproteobacteria bacterium. Its description in RNAcentral is "partial 16S ribosomal RNA". Lineage: Bacteria; Pseudomonadati; Pseudomonadota; Alphaproteobacteria. The record is from RNAcentral.